This 463-nucleotide ribosomal RNA is filed under the name uncultured Pelotomaculum sp. RNAcentral's name for it is "bacterial SSU rRNA". It matches the Rfam family "Bacterial small subunit ribosomal RNA", at positions 920 to 1382 of the family's 1533-position model. The record is from RNAcentral. Lineage: Bacteria; Bacillati; Bacillota; Clostridia; Eubacteriales; Desulfotomaculaceae.
CCCGCACAAGCGGUGGAGCAUGUGGUUAAUUCGACGCAACGCGAAGAACCUUACCAGGGCUUGACAUCCCCUGACCGCGUAUGAAAGUACGAAUUCACCUUCGGGUGACAGGGAGACAGGUGGUGCAUGGUUGUCGUCAGCUCGUGUCGUGAGAUGUUGGGUUAAGUCCCGCAACGAGCGCAACCCCUACGUUUAGUUGCUAACGCGUGAAGGCGAGCACUCUAGACGAACUGCCGUUGACAAAACGGAGGAAGGUGGGAUGACGUCAAAUCAUCAUGCCCCUUAUGUUCUGGGCUACACACGUGCUACAAUGGCCGGUACAGACGGACGCAAAGCCGCGAGGUGGAGCAAAUCCUAAAAAGCCGGUCUCAGUUCGGAUUGCAGGCUGCAAUUCGCCUGCAUGAAGUCGGAAUCGCUAGUAAUCGCAGGUCAGCAUACUGCGGUGAAUACGUUCCCGGGCCUU